RNAcentral lists this ribosomal RNA (164 nucleotides) under uncultured bacterium. RNAcentral's name for it is "partial 16S ribosomal RNA". It matches the Rfam family "Bacterial small subunit ribosomal RNA", at positions 355 to 511 of the family's 1533-position model. The record is from RNAcentral.
UAGGGAAUCUUCCACAAUGGACGAAAGUCUGAUGGAGCAACGCCGCGUGAGUGAAGAAGGGUUUCGGCUCGUAAAACUCUGUUGUUAAAGAAGAACAUAUCUGAGAGUAACUGUUUACCCAGUGACGGUAUUUAACCAGAAAGCCACGGCUAACUACGUGCCAG